Molecule: ribosomal RNA, 114 nt
Filed under: Patescibacteria group bacterium
Lineage: Bacteria
Source: RNAcentral
GUUGGUGCUUCGUCGGAGGGGGUACACCCGUUCCCAUUCCGAACACGGCAGUUAAGCCCUCUUGAACCGAUGGUACUCGCUGUUACAGGCGGGGAGAGUAGGUAGGCGCCAACA